UGGUGCAAGGAUAAAACGAAAAAACCUUUUAAGGUAAACAUAGCACCAGACUAAAGAGAAUCUAUUCAUUUACAGAUGAACAAAUUUAUUUUUCAAAAGGAUAACAAAAACUUCUUAACAAGUGAAACACAGUCGUUUUGAUGGAGUGAAGACUUAGUCAAAAUACUUGAUGGACAAACCAUGAUGUUUGAAAACACUUAAUCAAAGCAUUAGUUUAAGAGAAGAAUCUAUUCAUUUAUGCAGUAGGGUAUUUUUGCAAAACAUGUGAAAAACAGUUUCAGUUUCAGAAAACUUGUGCUUGCUCUUAUCACAUGGUCAAGGGUUAAGAGCUGAGUUACCUAAGAAGAAGAAGAAGAAGAAGAAGAAAAAGAAAAAGAAGCCGCGAAACGUCAAAACAAUCUCAACCGUUAGAUCUUUUAGAUCCCAAACCCCUCAUUAAUGCAGGUCAUGUCACGCCGUCGAAGGUCACAUCACACCUCGGGAAGCUCAAUAGUCACGAACCCAAGGGAGGUCGAUCGACAUCCAUUAUUAAAGACUCAUCGGACAUAUCCGUCCUCGAGCUUGGGGGCAAGUGUACUGGUAUGGGCGAGACCGAGAUUCGGUCUUCCUGACUGAGAUUAGGGAAACUUGAUCGAGACCAAGGAAAUCUGGCCGAGACCAAGGAAAUCUGGCCAAGACAAGGGAAACCACCACGGACGGCCCGACUGACACAUAAAUCCAUUAACGCUCAAACCAAGGUCAGUGAAGCUAAUAUGUCAUUAAGGAUUAGGUAAUACAUCCAUAAGUGUGAUCCAUUCCACUAAUCAGGCCCAAUAAGGUAAGCCCAUUAAAAUAAUAUAAAUAACACACAUUUCAAGGAGAAAGGUACGUCAUUUAUUACUGUGCACCUAUCCAAAUACCGAUCACCCGCUUUACUGACUUGAGCGUCGGAGUGCCUUCCGCAGGUACCCCCCAUUAGAUGUUCACCCAAGGCCGAGAGCCGAAGGAGAAGCACGAAGACGAGAAGGACCCUAGUCAGGCACCCCACAACCUGCCCGACCGAAGGAGGAAGACAAAGACUUCAAUAGUUCUCUAGGUCCCAUCUCCCUAGCAGGAACAAAAAAAAAAGUAUAAAAAUAAAAAAAAUUAUAAUAUAUUUAAACAAGAGCAUAAUAUAAGUAAAAAAAAAAUACCAAGUUAUCUUUUCUUCUUGAAAGACAUAGCACCACCCUUUUAUUUCUAUUACACAUGUUAUACAAAGUGAAAAUGAAGUUAGUCCAAAUCUAUUGAGUAAAUUAAAUAAGUCUAAAGAUAUUUCAAUGUAAGUUGUGCACUCU
This 1316-nucleotide long non-coding RNA is filed under the name Phaseolus vulgaris (common bean). RNAcentral's name for it is "long non-coding RNA (PVUL_LNC002275)". The record is from RNAcentral. Lineage: Eukaryota; Viridiplantae; Streptophyta; Magnoliopsida; Fabales; Fabaceae.